UACAGGGGUGCAAACGUUGCUCGGAAUCAUUGGGCGUAAAGCGCACGUAGGCGGUUCGUUAUGUCGGAUGUGAAAGCCCUUGGCUUAACCGAGGAAGUGCAUCCGAAACUGGCGAGCUAGAGUACGAAAGAGGAUCGCGGAAUUCCCGGUGUAGAGGUGAAAUUCGUAGAUAUCGGGAGGAACACCGGUGGCGAAGGCGGCGAUCUGGGUCGAUACUGACGCUGAGGUGCGAAAGCGUGGGGAGCAAACAGG
Molecule: ribosomal RNA, 252 nt
Filed under: uncultured bacterium
Lineage: Bacteria
Description: partial 16S ribosomal RNA
Rfam family: Bacterial small subunit ribosomal RNA
Source: RNAcentral